GACGAACGCUGGCGGCGUGCUUAACACAUGCAAGUCGAACGGAAAGGCCCCUUUGGGGGUACUCGAGUGGCGAACGGGUGAGUAACACGUGAGUAACCUGCCCUUGCCUUCGGGAUAACUUCAGGUCACUGGGGCUAAUACCGGAUAGGAAUCCUUGCUGCAUGGUGGGGGUUGGAAAGCUUCGGCGGUUUUGGAUGGACUCGCGGCUUAUCUGCUUGUUGGUGGGGUAGUGGCUUACCAAGGCUUUGACGGGUAGCCGGCCUGAGAGGGCGACCGGCCACAUUGGGACUGAGAUACGGCCCAGACUCCGACGGGAGGCAGAAGGGGGGAAGAUGGCACAAUGGGCGGAAGCCUGAUGCAGCAACGCCGCGUGCGGGAUGACGGCCUUCGGGUUGUAAACCGCUUGCAGCAGGUGCGAAGCUUGUGGUGACGGUACCUGCAGAAGAAGCACCGGCUAACUACGUG
Molecule: ribosomal RNA, 465 nt
Filed under: uncultured bacterium
Lineage: Bacteria
Description: partial 16S ribosomal RNA
Rfam family: Bacterial small subunit ribosomal RNA
Source: RNAcentral